GAUGAACGCUGGCGGCGUGCCUAAUACAUGCAAGUCGAGCGAACAGACGAGGAGCUUGCUCCUCUGACGUUAGCGGCGGACGGGUGAGUAACACGUGGAUAACCUACCUAUAAGACUGGGAUAACUUCGGGAAACCGGAGCUAAUACCGGAUAAUAUAUUGAACCGCAUGGUUCAAUAGUGAAAGACGGUUUUGCUGUCACUUAUAGAUGGAUCCGCGCCGCAUUAGCUAGUUGCUAAGGUAACGGCUUACCAAGGCAACGAUGCGUAGCCGACCUGAGAGGGUGAUCGGCCACACUGGAACUGAGACACGGUCCAGACUCCUACGGGAGGCAGCAGUAGGGAAUCUUCCGCAAUGGGCGAAAGCCUGACGGAGCAACGCCGCGUGAGUGAUGAAGGUCUUCGGAUCGUAAAACUCUGUUAUUAGGGAAGAACAAAUGUGUAAGUAACUAUGCACGUCUUGACGGUACCUAAUCAGAAAGCCACGGCUAACUACGUG
This 497-nucleotide ribosomal RNA is filed under the name uncultured bacterium. RNAcentral describes it as "partial 16S ribosomal RNA". It matches the Rfam family "Bacterial small subunit ribosomal RNA", at positions 28 to 507 of the family's 1533-position model. The record is from RNAcentral.